RNAcentral lists this ribosomal RNA (497 nucleotides) under uncultured bacterium. Its description in RNAcentral is "partial 16S ribosomal RNA". It matches the Rfam family "Bacterial small subunit ribosomal RNA", at positions 28 to 507 of the family's 1533-position model. The record is from RNAcentral.
GACGAACGCUGGCGGCGUGCCUAGUACAUGCAAGUAGAACGCUGAAGCGAGGAGCUUGCUCUUCUUGGAUGAGUUGCGAACGGGUGAGUAACGCGUAGGUAACCUGCCUUGUAGCGGGGGAUAACUAUUGGAAACGAUAGCUAAUACCGCAUAACAAUGGAUGACACAUGUCAUUUAUUUGAAAGGGGCAAUUGCUCCACUACAAGAUGGACCUGCGUUGUAUUAGCUAGUAGGUGAGGUAACGGCUCACCUAGGCGACGAUACAUAGCCAACCUGAGAGGGUGAUCGGCCACACUGGGACUGAGACACGGCCCAGACUCCUACGGGAGGCAGCAGUAGGGAAUCUUCGGCAAUGGGGGCAACCCUGACCGAGCAACGCCGCGUGAGUGAAGAAGGGUUUCGGAUCGUAAAGCUCUGUUGUAAGUCAAGAACGAGGGUGAGAGUGGAAAGUUCACACUGUGACGGUAGCUUACCAGAAAGGGACGGCUAACUACGUG